This 216-nucleotide ribosomal RNA is filed under the name Glomeromycotina sp. Its description in RNAcentral is "partial small subunit ribosomal RNA". The stretch from base 40 to 216 matches the Rfam family "Eukaryotic small subunit ribosomal RNA", at positions 686 to 864 of the family's 1831-position model. The record is from RNAcentral. Lineage: Eukaryota; Fungi; Glomeromycota.
GGGUCAGUAGGUUGGUCGUGCCACCGGUACGUACUGGUCUCACUGAUUCCUCCUUCCUGAAGAACCGUAAUGCCAUUAAUUUGGUGUUGCGGGGAAACAGGACUGUUACUUUGAAAAAAUUAGAGUGAUUAACGCAAGCUAACGCUUGAAUACAUUAGCAUGGAAUAAUGAAAUAGGACGAUCGAUCCUAUUUUGUUGGUUUCUAGGAUUGACGUA